CCAGACUCCUACGGGAGGCAGCAGUGGGGGAUAUUGCACAAUGGGGGAAACCCUGAUGCAGCGACACCGCGUGGGUGAAGAAGCGCUUCGGCGUGUAAAGCCCUAUCAGUGGGGAAGAAAAAGGACGGUACCCAAAGAAGAAGCACCGGCUAAAUACGUGCCAGCAGCCGCGGUAAUACGUAUGGUGCAAGCGUUAUCCGGAAUGACUGGGUGUAAAGGGUGCGUAGGCGGCAUUAUAAGUUAGUGGUAAAAUAUUGGGGCUUCACCUCACUACGCCAUUAAUACUGUAGAGCUAGAGAACAGGCGAGGUAGGCGGAAUAAGUUAAGUAGCGGUGAAAUGCAUAGAUAUAACUUAGAACACCGAUAGCGAAGGCAGCUUACCAGACUGAGUCUGACGCUGAUGCACGAGAGCAUGGGUAGCGAACAGGAUUAGAUACCCGGGUA
RNAcentral lists this ribosomal RNA (444 nucleotides) under uncultured bacterium. RNAcentral describes it as "partial 16S ribosomal RNA". It matches the Rfam family "Bacterial small subunit ribosomal RNA", at positions 331 to 792 of the family's 1533-position model. The record is from RNAcentral.